Molecule: long non-coding RNA, 820 nt
Organism: Carassius auratus (goldfish)
Lineage: Eukaryota; Metazoa; Chordata; Actinopteri; Cypriniformes; Cyprinidae
Exons: 2
Source: RefSeq, a predicted model, not a curated record
CAGCAAAUUCUGAAAAGGCAUCUUUUGGAGGACGUACUCCAUUCGAGCGCCUCUUUCUCUUGUGCACAUCGACACAAAUCACAGAUCGAUGAGGACAUCGAAGAGCCAGAUCUAGACUGGGACGUAGCAGCUACUUACGAUGUCUGUGAAGAUAUUGAAGCUGUUGUUCCAGAAUCUGAAUGUGCUUUGAGUGCAGAUGAAUUGAGGACUCUUGAACAUCUGCUGAAUUCAACUGCUCCUAAUAUCUCUGUCAAAGAACUGAACUUGCUUUGUCGGGAGUUGUUUCAUCAAAUAUGAAUUAAAUAAACAAACAAACAAACACAAAGCAUAAAGACUGAACAGCAUAAUGAAUUUAUUUUGCUUUGAAGAUUACUGUGUAUUGAUGUACAGUUUUUUCACAUCUGAAUAGAGUUUGGAACAAUUUGGAAGCCAUCUUGGCUGCUUUUGUUGUAAUACAUGUCAAUAAUAAAGAAAAUUAAAAAUAAAACAGUCAAAUAUCCAAAAUCUACUGCACCAUUAUUCUUUUAACAUUAUUAACAACAUAACAGAGGGUCCACAGUAUAGUGAUUAAACUACAGUAAGAAUCGAUCUCAUGAAGGACCAAAGUCUCUGCGAUUGCUCUCCGCCGGCUCAUUAUGCUGAGCAACUCUGUGUUUGUCUCUCGCUGCUGUGUAGGUUACAGUACAGGAACAUGCAUUUACUAGAGACAAGCAGAAACUAUGCUGACCACAUCGAAGCUGACAGUCAGGAUCACUCUGGCGCAGAUCUGCCUCUCAUGAUGCUCAGCUGUGAACGAUUUAAAAAUGACAUGCAAAAAAAA